Molecule: transfer RNA, 71 nt
Filed under: Stegodyphus mimosarum
Lineage: Eukaryota; Metazoa; Arthropoda; Arachnida; Araneae; Eresidae
Rfam family: tRNA
About the family: Transfer RNA (tRNA) molecules are approximately 80 nucleotides in length. Their secondary structure includes four short double-helical elements and three loops (D, anti-codon, and T loops). Further hydrogen bonds mediate the characteristic L-shaped molecular structure. tRNAs have two regions of fundamental functional importance: the anti-codon, which is responsible for specific mRNA codon recognition, and the 3' end, to which the tRNAs corresponding amino acid is attached (by aminoacyl-tRNA synthetases). tRNAs cope with the degeneracy of the genetic code in two manners: having more than one tRNA (with a specific anti-codon) for a particular amino acid; and 'wobble' base-pairing, i.e. permitting non-standard base-pairing at the 3rd anti-codon position.
Source: Rfam by way of RNAcentral
GCCUUCAUGGUGUAACGGUAACACACUCAGCCCGUAAUCGAGAGAUCCAGGUUCGAGUCCUGGCGAGGGCA